This 233-nucleotide non-coding RNA is filed under the name Clostridiales bacterium. RNAcentral's name for it is "T-box sequence". It matches the Rfam family "T-box leader". Rfam says of the family: Uncharged tRNA acts as the effector for transcription antitermination of genes in the T-box leader family. The record is from RNAcentral. Lineage: Bacteria; Bacillati; Bacillota; Clostridia; Eubacteriales.
AUAAUAAAAUUUGAAAAAAAGAGUAAGCUCGUUUAGAUUUUUAGAGAGUGGGCGCUUGGUGAAAGCUCAUAAUUACGGCGAGAUUGAAAAUCAUUUUUCUUUUUGCAAGUCUGAAACAAAAGUAAGACUUGACGCUUUGGUAGGCGUUAUCUACACCCGGCAUUGAUAGAUGCUUGAGUGCUUAUUAUUUUAAUAAGAAUAAAAGGUGGUAACGCGGAAUUUUCGUCCUUUGU